Molecule: ribosomal RNA, 406 nt
Filed under: Microphorella malaysiana
Lineage: Eukaryota; Metazoa; Arthropoda; Insecta; Diptera; Empididae
Description: partial 12S ribosomal RNA
Source: RNAcentral
UAAACUAGGAUUAGAUACCCUAUUAUUUGAAGUGUAUAUUUUUUCACUUGAGUAGUAUUAGUUAUGUUCUUGAAACUUAAAAAAUUUGGCGGUAUUUUAGUCUUUUCAGAGGAACUUGUUCUUUAAUCGAUAAUCCUCGAUGGACCUCACUUGAUUUUGUUUUUCAAUUUGUAUAUCGCCGUUAUUUGAAUAUUUUUUUAGAAUAAUAAUUUUCAAUUUUUUUAAUAAAAAUUUAAUGUCAGGUCAAGGUGCAGUUAAUGGUCAAGAAUGAAAUGAGUUACAAUAAAUUUAUUUAUGCGAAUAUUUGAUUGAAAUGGUUUUUUGAAGAUGGAUUUGAUAGUAAAUUUUAAUAGAUAUUAAUUUUGAUUUUAGCUCUAAAAUAUGCACACAUCGCCCGUCGCUCUUA